RNAcentral lists this ribosomal RNA (101 nucleotides) under Orobdella mononoke. RNAcentral describes it as "partial 16S ribosomal RNA". The record is from RNAcentral. Lineage: Eukaryota; Metazoa; Annelida; Clitellata; Hirudinida; Orobdellidae.
UAUACUAACAAAUUAUAUAAUUCAAAAUUACAAAUAUAAGAAAUCUUAAAAUAUUAUUAAAUAUAGUAAUAGAAAUUUUAAAUAAUAAAAAGUAAGUAUAU